RNAcentral lists this long non-coding RNA (1295 nucleotides) under Homo sapiens (human). Its description in RNAcentral is "long intergenic non-protein coding RNA 2092". The record is from RNAcentral. Lineage: Eukaryota; Metazoa; Chordata; Mammalia; Primates; Hominidae.
UGGUGGUGGCCUGUGAGCCUUCAGGUGGGUAGGAUGACAGCAGCAGGUGCCCAGGAGGAGGGGAGGAACAAAGAUCUUGUUUUUGUGCCAUCAUCCCUGAUACAUAAUGAAAACCCAGGGUAGGGGUGGGGUGGGAAUGGAGUGGGGAGAUCUGACUCUGCAGCCAUCCCUCACCACUCCUGCUUGGACAUCGCCAGGCUCAGCUAGAGAAGGCAGAAAAAGUUCCUCCAACUCCUUCCCCAGGCACCUAUGCAGGCUCCACACUCCUGCCUGAACAGCUAUGAUUUUAAAAGCCAUCGAGUCAUGAAGAGAAGUGUGCCAGUGUGUGCUGGACUCAGUUUCCCCUGUGCACCAUUUUCCCCAGUCAGCCCUGCACCUUCCAAGAACUAUGACCCGAAGGCACACCCUAGUCAGCUCAGGCCCCACAUUCCUGCAAAAAUAAGGCUCCAGGGCUCCCUCAUCGCAGCAUGGGUUCUGCAGGAAGCCCCAGUGCCAAGUGGCUUUCAAAACUAGCCUCAGCUAGCAACGUGGCGGCUAUUUCAGCGACCGACAAAAGCAGCUCCCCCAGCCUCCCUUGGUGUUUGUGGUCCCUUUUGUUCCAGCCAGGCACCAUGAGGAAAAUGCAGCAACCGUUUGGAAACAAAGGCUCGGGCAGGCUCUCUCCAGUCUGAAAAGCCCACUUUCACUUGAGUUUCAGCGUGAGUGCCAGACAGAGGCCUGUUCUGAUGUCCUGACAUGCUACAAUUAUGCAGAUUUACACAGCAAGCAUAAGACCUUCUCCGCAUGUAUGGCUUCCCCAUUCCCAAGCAGACCAUGAACUUCCUAAGGAAAGUGACCGAAUUCCGCACUUCUCAACCCUCGCGGAGGGGCAGGGAGAUGGAUGAAGAAAUAAAGAGAGGGUGAAAUCAUUCUGGGAAGUUUCCUUGAAAGGGCCCAAAUCUGCCUCUUUCUGGGGCCCAGCGAGGACCCUGGAAGACAGAGAUCCUAGAAAAAGCAGAGGGAAAAGAAGAGGAAGAGAACAUGGAGAAACCGCCAGGGAACAGAACUCUUGGUCCAGGAGGCGCAAACCACAAGUGCAAUUAGUCAAAAAAAAACCCUGAAAUUAAAAAAUGAUUCCAAGCUGAGGAGGGGAGUACAUAAGUUACUGCAGCCCCAAGACAUUUAUGAAUAAUACAAAUGCUGUGAGGUGCUGAGCCUGAGCACAGUUAAUUAAUAUGUACAGGAGCAGAGAUGCACUUGAAAAACAAUAGUGCUGUUUCCCCCUCGCCAGAAGUAAAAAUAUUUCCAGAAAGACU